This is a long non-coding RNA of Pezoporus flaviventris, 972 nucleotides long. RefSeq lists it as uncharacterized. Lineage: Eukaryota; Metazoa; Chordata; Aves; Psittaciformes; Psittacidae. The record is from RefSeq and is a predicted model, not a curated record. The transcript is spliced from 3 exons.
CAUGGCCAGGCUUGGAAAUGAGCCUCACCUGUGGGAGGAUCCAAGAGAGCCUGACUCUAUAAAAUAGCAAAACUGUGACUGUCUAGCUUGUACUUUGGCUGCCUGAUUGGCUACAGGGAUGAUAACUGGAAGGACUACAAAUCACUGACUAAGACUUUGCUGGAUCCAUGGGGUGAAAAAGCUUACCCAGCCACAGUAUUUGUUCAAAAACCCAAAUUUGAUAUUCAGGUUCACUGGAGGAAUGAGGAAUGCCUUAACAAGUACUGGAAAGCUGUACACUGAACAAAACUAAUACGCAAGGGCAGUAAGGGCCAUUGAAGCAGGUUUGUGAGAUUCAAAAACAUCCUCAGCUGCUGAGCCUGAUCCAAAGGUCACUGAAAGUCAACAAAUGGCCAUUUAUGAUGUCAAAAGAUAUUUUGAAAUGUACCUCCCAGAGCAUCUGUAGAUGUUGAUUUGAUUAUGUAACACACUGACUCCUGCUCUUUGGUACACAAGAUGAAUGCUAAAAUUUUUUUCUGCUUUAAGAUAAAAAAUCCUUCUGCCUGUCUCUCCAAUGCCUUGCGUAUCUCAAGAGCUAGAAUUUUGUUCAAUUCUAUGUAAACUGUAUUUGAAAGUACUUGAUAGCUCCACCACUUGUAGUCACAGCAUAUACCAUAUCCAGACCAAUGUGCUGACCACCCUUAAAUCUGUGACCAGGUUUCCAAGCAAACUACUUAGCCUGAAGUAACAGACUGGAAGUUCCAGUUAAUCUGUACAUGGUGGGAUGGGCAAGGAAUGUUCCAGUAUGAAGCAGGUUAGAAUGCUGCACUGGGUAGACAUACCUCAAUCAGUCUGUUGAAAUAAAAUACACAAACACAGGAACUGUAUGUUUUACUGAUGCUCCCCCUGCCCAACACCUUAGCAAAAACUAUUUUAACUUCUCGUAAGAGAAAAUCCACUAUCUUCUGAAAACCAACUGACAACAGGCUAAAU